This 423-nucleotide unclassified non-coding RNA is filed under the name fungal sp. Its description in RNAcentral is "partial internal transcribed spacer region". The stretch from base 1 to 45 matches the Rfam family "Eukaryotic small subunit ribosomal RNA", at positions 1787 to 1831 of the family's 1831-position model. Lineage: Eukaryota; Fungi. The record is from RNAcentral.
AGUCGUAACAAGGUAACCGUAGGUGAACCUGCGGUUGGAUCAUUAAUGAUUCUUUGGAUGAUUGUCUGGUGGAGAAGCGGGUGCUUUUUGUUUGUUUCCGCUGGUUUUGGGUUAUCCUUCUGGUUUUUGAAGGUUGUCUGAAGCAUGCCGGUUGGGAAUGAAUAAAAAUAAUCGGUUUCGACGCUGGACUUUCAGUCAACGACUCCCCCCUUGUGAAUGUUUCCUGUAUUUUCUGUUGGUGGUCCUACACCAAAUGGAACGGGGUUGUUGCGUUUACUCGCAACCUGUUCUUGGGGCCGCCGCAGAAACUGUAAAUCACUUUGAAUCUUAUGCACUCAGUGUCGCUUACCUGGUUUGUUCCUUUUCUGGGAUGAAUCUUGUAAAAAAUCAUACAACUUUUGACAAUGGAUCUCUUGGCUCACA